Molecule: ribosomal RNA, 471 nt
Filed under: uncultured bacterium
Lineage: Bacteria
Description: partial 16S ribosomal RNA
Rfam family: Bacterial small subunit ribosomal RNA
Source: RNAcentral
AACGAACGCUGGCGGCAUGCCUAACACAUGCAAGUCGAACGAGACCUUCGGGUCUAGUGGCGCACGGGUGCGUAACGCGUGGGAACCUGCCCUUAGGUUCGGAAUAACUCCCCGAAAGGGGUGCUAAUACCGGAUAAUGUCUUCGGACCAAAGAUUUAUCGCCUUUGGAUGGGCCCGCGUUGGAUUAGCUAGUUGGUAGGGUAAAAGCCUACCAAGGCGACGAUCCAUAGCUGGUCUGAGAGGAUGAUCAGCCACACUGGGACUGAGAAACGGCCCAGACUCCGGGGUGAGAGAGCUGGGAAGAGGAGGGAAGUGAAGGAGAACGCGAGAGACAGGAUUGGGGCGGGGGGGAGGCAGGUUUGGUGGUAGGACACACCUUUUACAGAGAAGGAUAAUGACAGAACCGGGAGAGCAAGCUCCAGCUAACUCCGCGACAGCCGCCGCGAUAAUAACGAGAGCUCACAUCUCACC